This 492-nucleotide ribosomal RNA is filed under the name uncultured bacterium. RNAcentral's name for it is "partial 16S ribosomal RNA". It matches the Rfam family "Bacterial small subunit ribosomal RNA", at positions 29 to 507 of the family's 1533-position model. The record is from RNAcentral.
AUUGAACGCUGGCGGCAUGCUUUACACAUGCAAGUCGAACGGUAACAGGCCUUCGGGUGCUGACGAGUGGCGAACGGGUGAGUAAUGCAUCGGAACGUACCCAGAGGUGGGGGAUAACGCAGCGAAAGCUGUGCUAAUACCGCAUGUGAUCUGAGGAUGAAAGCGGGGGACCGAGCAGCAAUGUUUGGCCUCGCGCCUUUGGAGCGGCCGAUGUCGGAUUAGCUAGUUGGUGGGGUAAAGGCCUACCAAGGCGACGAUCCGUAGCUGGUCUGAGAGGACGACCAGCCACACUGGGACUGAGACACGGCCCAGACUCCUACGGGAGGAAGCAGUGGGGAAUUUUGGACAAUGGGCGCAAGCCUGAUCCAGCAAUGCCGCGUGCGGGAAGAAGGCCUUCGGGUUGUAAACCGCUUUUGGCAGGAACGAAACGGUGUCCGCUAAUACCGGGCGCUAAUGACGGUACCUGCAGAAUAAGCACCGGCUAACUACGUG